GGGUCUCUAUAUGAGUUUUUCUCUUUACAGAUUCACCAAUGAGAGCUUAUGAACACACUCAAGUGUGUCCAGUUUUCUCCUACCAUGUUAUUAACAGUCCAUCUCUUCCUCACCUCUGUUACUGUUUCAUUGCCUUGAUUUUUUUGGUCCAACUUAAACUCCAGGACAAGCCAAAGGGGUUAUCCAAAGUUCUCUGUUUUACUACCUUUUUUGUUUCUUUGUUUUUUAAAGGAUUAUCCUCGCAAUCAACCAACAAACCAAUUGCCUGAACCAAUGGGAGGUAAGUGCCAAGUGGCACAAAGAGAGCAGAAUAUUCCAAAGGCUCCCGUGUACCUGCAAAUCUGGUGGCCGGAUAUGAUAAGUUAGAGGGUGAGGGUGACAGAAGCUGGGAAAUGAAAGAUGGGAUUGUUUUCUUGUCAUCCUGUACCCCUGCCACCUGGCGAUGGUGUUUCUGGAGAGUUACCUGGAAGUCGAUGGAUCCGUACAGAGAAGCCUGAGUUGGGGCAUCGGUGAAGACAGUGUUUCUCCAUGCUCCCAUUAUUCUUCCAGAACUGUUAGGAGUGGAAAUCAUUUCACCUUUGCACUUAGAAUAAAGCAACUCAGCAUUCACAGUAAAUUGCGUCCUGCAUACU
This is a non-coding RNA of Macaca mulatta (Rhesus monkey), 632 nucleotides long. Lineage: Eukaryota; Metazoa; Chordata; Mammalia; Primates; Cercopithecidae. The record is from RefSeq and is a predicted model, not a curated record.